Molecule: ribosomal RNA, 381 nt
Filed under: uncultured bacterium
Lineage: Bacteria
Description: bacterial SSU rRNA
Rfam family: Bacterial small subunit ribosomal RNA
Source: RNAcentral
AGGAUAACGCACGGAAACGUGAGCUAAAACCAGAUAGGCAUUUUUCCACGCAUGAGGGAGAUGAGAAAGGCGGAGCAAUCUGCCGCUUAUGGAUGGACCUGCGUCGCAUUAGCUAGUUGGAGUGGUAAGGCACACCAAGGCGACGAUGCGUAGCCGACCUGAGAGGGUGAGCGGCCACACUGGGACUGAGACACGGCCCAGACUCCUACGGGAGGCAGCAGUAGGGAAUCUUCCGCAAUGGACGAAAGUCUGACGGAGCAACGCCGCGUGAGUGAAGAAGGUUUUCGGAUCGUAAAGCUCUGUUGCCAGGGAAGAAGAGCAAGGAGAGGAACUGCUCCUUGAGUGACGGUACCUGAGAAGAAAGCCCCGGCUAACUACGUG